RNAcentral lists this ribosomal RNA (468 nucleotides) under uncultured bacterium. RNAcentral describes it as "partial 16S ribosomal RNA". It matches the Rfam family "Bacterial small subunit ribosomal RNA", at positions 28 to 507 of the family's 1533-position model. The record is from RNAcentral.
GACGAACGCUGGCGGCGUGCUUAACACAUGCAAGUCGAACGGAAAGGCCCUGCUUUUGUUGGGUGCUCGAGUGGCGAACGGGUGAGUAACACGUGAGUAACCUGCCCUUUACUUUGGGAUAACUUCAGGAAACUGGUGCUAAUACUGGAUAUUCGCUCCUGCUCCCUUGUGGGUGUUGGAAAGUUUAGGCGGUUGUGGAUGGACUCGCCGCUUCUUAUCUUGUUGUUGGGGUAGUGGGUUACCAAGGCUUUGACGGGUAGGCGGCCUGAGAGGGUGACCGGCGACAUUGGGACUGAGAUACGGCCGAGAGUAGUACGGGAGGAAGCAGUGGGGAAUAUGGAAGAAUGGGCGGAAGCCUGAGGGAGAAACGCCGAGUGCGGGAUGACGGCAUUCGGGUUGGAAACCGCUUACGCCGGUGAAGAAGCGGGAGUGACGGUAAUGGGUAAAGAAGCACCGGCUAACUACGUG